Long non-coding RNA from Peromyscus leucopus (white-footed mouse), 536 nucleotides. RefSeq lists it as uncharacterized. The record is from RefSeq and is a predicted model, not a curated record. Lineage: Eukaryota; Metazoa; Chordata; Mammalia; Rodentia; Cricetidae. The transcript has 2 exons.
GUGAAUGGGGGGUCCGCCCUAGUCUUGGGACCCUGGAUAGGUAGAUGGCUGAGCGGAGAUGACCUAGGUAAGGGGCAGAUCCGAGUGGGAAGUUGAGUUGACAGAUGCAGCAGAAUUGACAAAGCACAAGCAGAUUCCAGACAGACACUUGGGAAAUCUCAGGAAGGCUCAUGCUGUGACUGAGCAUGGCAAGUAGACCAGGCAGGCACACCUCUGAUGUGCAUCCCCCGUAGGGGGUCUGAAGCAGGAGGGAUCACAGUCAAGUCUGCUGGAUGGAAUGGGUGCUGUGUGCUGAAGGGUUCCAAGUAGGGACAGUGAGGAGGCAUGUACCAGGCCUCUGCGAUCGGCCCGUGCUGGGAGAGUAUUGGGAUCAACAGUUUGUACGCUCAGAAAAAGCAGGGAAGCCCUCGAAAUGCAAACAAAAGUGAGUCUGGCCAAGACACACCGACUGUGGAUUGUAAAUUGCUUCAUGUCUCAGAACUUUAUCUCCCUGAUCUGUAAAAUGGGGUAAUAACACCACGUUACUGACUGGCCUA